RNAcentral lists this ribosomal RNA (254 nucleotides) under uncultured bacterium. RNAcentral's name for it is "partial 16S ribosomal RNA". It matches the Rfam family "Bacterial small subunit ribosomal RNA", at positions 524 to 776 of the family's 1533-position model. The record is from RNAcentral.
UACGUAGGGUGCAAGCGUUGUCCGGAAUUAUUGGGCGUAAAGAGCUCGUAGGUGGCGGGUCACGUCGGGUGUGAAAGCCCGGGGCUUAACCCCGGGUCUGCAUUCGAUACGGGUCUGCUGGGGUCCGGCAGGGGAGACUGGAAUUCCUGGUGUAGCGGUGAAAUGCGCAGAUAUCAGGAGGAACACCGGUGGCGAAGGCGGGUCUCUGGGCCGAUACUGACGCUGGAGGAGCGAAAGCGUGGGGAGCAAACAGG